Molecule: ribosomal RNA, 249 nt
Filed under: Ignatzschineria ureiclastica
Lineage: Bacteria; Pseudomonadati; Pseudomonadota; Gammaproteobacteria; Cardiobacteriales; Ignatzschineriaceae
Description: partial 23S ribosomal RNA
Rfam family: Bacterial large subunit ribosomal RNA
Source: RNAcentral
GGACCGAAGUGGACGUAUCUCUGGUGUUCCGGUUGUCAUGCCAAUGGCAUAGCCGGGUAGCUACAUACGGACGGGAUAACCGCUGAAAGCAUCUAAGCGGGAAGCCUUCCUCAAGAUAAGAUUUCCCUAGGGGUUUAACCCCUCUGAAGGUCCGUCGAAGACUACGACGUUGAUAGGUUGGGUGUGUAAGUGCAGUAAUGCAUUGAGCUUACCAAUACUAAUUGACCGUGAGGCUUGACCAUAUAAUAG